ACUCAGUGAAAUUGAACUCGCUGUGAAGAUGCAGUGUACCCGCGGCAAGACGGAAAGACCCCGUGAACCUUUACUAUAGCUUGACACUGAACAUUGAGCCUUGAUGUGUAGGAUAGGUGGGAGGCUUUGAAGUGUGGACGCCAGUCUGCAUGGAGCCGACCUUGAAAUACCACCCUUUAAUGUUUGAUGUUCUAACGUUGACCCGUAAUCCGGGUUGCGGACAGUGUCUGGUGGGUAGUUUGACUGGGGCGGUCUCCUCCUAAAGAGUAACGGAGGAGCACGAAGGUUGGCUAAUCCUGGUCGGACAUCAGGAGGUUAGUGCAAUGGCAUAAGCCAGCUUGACUGCGAGCGUGACGGCGCGAGCAGGUGCGAAAGCAGGUCAUAGUGAUCCGGUGGUUCUGAAUGGAAGGGCCAUCGCUCAACGGAUAAAAGGUACUCCGGGGAUAACAGGCUGAUACCGCCCAAGAGUUCAUAUCGACGGCGGUGUUUGGCACCUCGAUGUCGGCUCAUCACAUCCUGGGGCUGAAGUAGGUCCCAAGGGUAUGGCUGUUCGCCAUUUAAAGUGGUACGCGAGCUGGGUUUAGAACGUCGUGAGACAGUUCGGUCCCUAUCUGCCGUGGGCGCUGGAGAACUGAGGGGGGCUGCUCCUAGUACGAGAGGACCGGAGUGGACGCAUCACUGGUGUUCGGGUUGUCAUGCCAAUGGCACUGCCCGGUAGCUAAAUGCGGAAGAGAUAAGUGCUGAAAGCAUCUAAGCACGAAACUUGCCCCGAGAUGAGUUCUCCCUGACUCCUUGAGAGUCCUGAAGGAACGUUGAAGACGACGACGUUGAUAGGCCGGGUGUGUAAGCGCAGCGAUGCGUUGAGCUAACCGGUACUAAUGAACCGUGAGGCUUAACCUU
RNAcentral lists this ribosomal RNA (900 nucleotides) under Escherichia coli. RNAcentral's name for it is "partial 23S ribosomal RNA". It matches the Rfam family "Bacterial large subunit ribosomal RNA", at positions 2031 to 2925 of the family's 2925-position model. The record is from RNAcentral. Lineage: Bacteria; Pseudomonadati; Pseudomonadota; Gammaproteobacteria; Enterobacterales; Enterobacteriaceae.